CUAGCCUGUUUCUUCAUAACUGAUGAAUGUUUCAAUUCUUGAACGCAGGCCAGAAAUUUUCUGGCAAAUGAAUUCGAUCCUACAUUUCGGGAAAUACCAAUCAAAAUGUCAGAUUUUGAUGUUAAAAUGUGAAAGGCAGCACAUGAAAACUGCAUCUUGGAGAGGGAUGUAGCGCCCCCCCCAAUGAAUUUUAUCAUUAAUUUCUCAGGAAAUGUAGCUAUACAAUCAGAUCUGCUGUUGUUUUAAGAACAUUUGAUAGAAUUAAAACGAAGCAGGAUCAUAAAUAUGAUUUGACCAAAUCAACCAACAUUUGCAGGACAUAAAUCGAAUCAAAUAACAAAGGCAAACAUGAUUAAAAUGACAUUUUUAUUAUCAGCACAAGGCAAUAAUACUAUAAGGAUGAGAAGGCAGCAUUUUCAUGUAAACUCAGAUGACUUAAGAAAGUUACAUACAAUUCCUUUAGCAGUAGGGAAGAACAGAAAAAAAGAAAAUGGAGUUAUCAUUUUCAGCCAAAUGAGGGGUUGCAUUUUCACUUUGCCUUAUCCUCCUUGACUUCCUUCUCUUUCUCUACCUUGGCAUCCUUCACCUUUGGUUUCCCUUGCUUUGGUUUCAUGAAGCAGAAACAAGAACAGCAAGGGCACUGGAACAAGAACUUCAUGGCUUUUUUUGCUUUCCUUUGGUUUCAAAAAUAUGCCCAAGAAGCCUUAUGUGUAGAAAAAAAAUGCUAAGCUUUUCUAUCUUGUUUCCCUUCUAAUAAUGCUGCUUAUAUUUGCCGACAGUCAUGUGAUUUAUCGGUAAAAUACGAAAUUCUCAGUUCUAAUUAGCAAAAUUUAAAUACUAAUGGUCUCAAGAUUAAAAAAAGUGGUGUUUAUAUUUUCCAAGAAUGUGCAAUUGCCCCCAUUGGAUGUCGACUUCAAUCACUUUCAAUACAGAAGAUGCUGUCAAAAAAUGACUACUUUAGGGUUAGGGAAACAUGGUGGCCCAGGUGUGUGGGGCCUAUCAUGAUCAAGAAUGAAGUUCAUCACCUUGGCCAUGAUCUGAGGGUCUACUUUUUAUUUCCUUGCCUUACACUACAGAUUCCAAAUCUGGCAAGCAACAGGAGACAUGCAAUUUGCAUUAUCACCAUGAGUAUGAAG
RNAcentral lists this long non-coding RNA (1136 nucleotides) under Durio zibethinus. RNAcentral describes it as "long non-coding RNA (DZIB_LNC001967)". Lineage: Eukaryota; Viridiplantae; Streptophyta; Magnoliopsida; Malvales; Malvaceae. The record is from RNAcentral.